This 486-nucleotide ribosomal RNA is filed under the name uncultured bacterium. RNAcentral's name for it is "partial 16S ribosomal RNA". It matches the Rfam family "Bacterial small subunit ribosomal RNA", at positions 30 to 507 of the family's 1533-position model. The record is from RNAcentral.
AUUGAACGCUGGCGGCAUGCCUUACACAUGCAAGUCGAACGGCAGCACGGGUGCUUGCACCUGGUGGCGAGUGGCGAACGGGUGAGUAAUACAUCGGAACAUGUCCUGUAGUGGGGGAUAGCCCGGCGAAAGCCGGAUUAAUACCGCAUACGAUCCACGGAUGAAAGCGGGGGACCUUCGGGCCUCGCGCUAUAGGGUUGGCCGAUGGCUGAUUAGCUAGUUGGUGGGGUAAAGGCCUACCAAGGCGACGAUCAGUAGCUGGUCUGAGAGGACGACCAGCCACACUGGGAGUGAGACACGGCCCAGACUCCUACGGGAGGCAGCAGUGGGGAAUUUUGGACAAUGGGCGAAAGCCUGAUCCAGCAAUGCCGCGUGUGUGAAGAAGGCCUUCGGAUUGUAAAGCACUUUUGUCCGGAAAGAAAUCCUUGACUCUAAUACAGUCGGGGGAUGACGGUACCGGAAGAAUAAGCACCGGCUAACUACGUG